Pseudonaja textilis is the source of this 863-nucleotide non-coding RNA. The record is from RefSeq and is a predicted model, not a curated record. NCBI's taxonomy places the organism in Eukaryota, Metazoa, Chordata, Lepidosauria, Squamata, Elapidae.
UUGGCAGAAUAAGUCCUGUUGAAUUCUGUGGAAGGUUAUUUCAGUGCAAGAAUUACAGUAGAAAUCCAUUUUUUUUUUUAAAAAGAGGCAUAUAUUUAAUGAAUAUACAGACAGUCCUUCAACAGUUGAUCAACAUCUAUAAAUUAAAUAUAAAUACAUAUAUUUAAUGCAACAAAAGCUAAAAUGUCAAUUUUUUAGGAACCUUUGGUGACUUCUCACCAUUGUUCUGGAACCAAGAUGCUAUGAUUAGAUCCACAGUUCUCUAGACAAUUUUAAUUCCUUGUCAUUUUUGGAUACAAAAUAUGAAAAGUGGACUUGAACAUCAGUCCCAUAAAAAGUGCAAACUGAAACAUAUACCUAUUUUGAGUCCAUCUGAAAAUCCUGAUAUUAUUUUGCAAUACUAUCUUUAGAAGCCUAUUCAUGUCACUAUAAUGUCAGAAAGUGAUGAGAAGGGAUUAGACAUCAAUAACAAAGCAUAUGUUUUGCAGCCAAAAAAAUCACAACCAGGCCACCCAAGCCUGGGGAGGACUUUAAACCAAAAACCAUAACCAAAAGGAACAGAUAAUAAUGGCGGAACAGGGUAAAUAUUGUUUUAACUCAGUUUUCUAUAUUCUACACAUUUAUAUAUGUAUGCAUAAAACAUGUAAAUCCUAGUAGAUCUGAAUACACUGCUCUGGAGAAGGUAUGUACUAGUGUCUAGAGGCUAAAGAAAUCAACCUAUACUAAUGUUAUGUGACUUUAAUGUUCAUCUUUGGUAGUACCAUAAAACAGAUGAUUUAUUCCAAGAAUGACUAGAUGGCAUUCACUUCAUUCUCAACCAGACUGACUGUACAGGUCAGUGUUUCUCAAACUUAGAAACUUGG